Molecule: ribosomal RNA, 376 nt
Filed under: uncultured bacterium
Lineage: Bacteria
Description: bacterial SSU rRNA
Rfam family: Bacterial small subunit ribosomal RNA
Source: RNAcentral
GACGAACGCUGGCGGCGUGCUUAACACAUGCAAGUCGAGCGGUAAGGCCCUUUCGGGGGUACACGAGCGGCGAACGGGUGAGUAACACGUGGGUGACCUGCCCUUAGCUCUGGGAUAAGCCUGGGAAACUGGGUCUAAUACCGGAUAUGACUCCAUAACGCAUGUUGUGGGGUGGAAAGCCUUGUGCGGCUAGGGAUGGGCCCGCGGCCUAUCAGCUUGUUGGUGGGGUGAUGGCCACCAAGGCGACGACGGGUAGCCGGCCUGAGAGGGCGACCGGCCACACUGGGACUGAGACACGGCCCAGACUCCUACGGGAGGCAGCAGUGGGGAAUCUUGCGCAAUGGCGAAAGCCUGACGCAGCGACGCCGCGUGGGGA